RNAcentral lists this ribosomal RNA (251 nucleotides) under uncultured bacterium. RNAcentral describes it as "partial 16S ribosomal RNA". It matches the Rfam family "Bacterial small subunit ribosomal RNA", at positions 524 to 776 of the family's 1533-position model. The record is from RNAcentral.
UACGUAGGGGCGAGCGUUGUCCGGAAUCAUUGGGCGUAAAGCGCGUGUAGGCGGCUCGAUAAGUCUGCUGUGAAAGUCCAGGGCUCAACCCUGGAAUGCCGGUGGAAACUGUUGAGCUUGAGUCCGGAAGAGGCGAGUGGAAUUCCUGGUGUAGCGGUGAAAUGCGCAGAUAUCAGGAGGAACACCAAUGGCGAAGGCAGCUCGCUGGGACGGUACUGACGCUGAGACGCGAAAGCGUGGGAGCAAACAGG